Molecule: ribosomal RNA, 205 nt
Filed under: Escherichia coli
Lineage: Bacteria; Pseudomonadati; Pseudomonadota; Gammaproteobacteria; Enterobacterales; Enterobacteriaceae
Also listed under: 1 other name
Description: partial 23S ribosomal RNA
Rfam family: Bacterial large subunit ribosomal RNA
Source: RNAcentral
CAGCCAUCAUUUAAAGAAAGCGUAAUAGCUCACUGGUCGAGUCGGCCUGCGCGGAAGAUGUAACGGGGCUAAACCAUGCACCGAAGCUGCGGCAGCGACACUAUGUGUUGUUGGGUAGGGGAGCGUUCUGUAAGCCUGUGAAGGUGUACUGUGAGGUAUGCUGGAGGUAUCAGAAGUGCGAAUGCUGACAUAAGUAACGAUAAAG